AGCAGCCGCGGUAAUUCCAGCUCCAAUAGCGUAUAUUAAAGUUGUUGCAGUUAAAAAGCUCGUAGUUGAAUUUCGAGAUCAAAUUGUUGGUCGUGCCUUGGUACGCACUGGCAUUAUUGGUUUCUCCCUUCUGAAGAACCAUGAUGUCAUUAAUUUGGUGUCUUGGGGAAUCAGGACUGUUACUUUGAAAAAAUUGAGUGUUUAAAGCAGGCUCGCGCUUGAAUACAUUAGCAUGGAAUAAUGAAAUAAGACGUUUGAUUCUAUUUUGUUGGUUUCUAGGAUCGACGUAAUGAUUAAUAGGGAUAGUUGGGGGCAUUAGUAUUCAAUUGUCAGAGGUGAAAUUCUUGGAUUUAUUGAAGACUAACUACUGCGAAAGCAUUUGCCAAGGAUGUUUUCAUUAAUCAAGAACGAAGUUAGGGAUCGAAGACGAUCAGAUACCGUCGCAGUCUUAACCAUAAACUAUGCCGACUAGGGAUCGGAUGAUGUUAAUUUUUAUGACUC
Molecule: ribosomal RNA, 501 nt
Filed under: uncultured Glomeraceae
Lineage: Eukaryota; Fungi; Glomeromycota; Glomeromycetes; Glomerales; Glomeraceae
Description: SSU rRNA
Rfam family: Eukaryotic small subunit ribosomal RNA
Source: RNAcentral